UACAGAGGGUGCGAGCGUUAAUCGGAAUUACUGGGCGUAAAGCGCGCGUAGGCGGCUUUUCAAGUCGAUUGUGAAAUCCCCGGGCUUAACCUGGGAACUGCAGUCGAGACUGUCUAGCUAGAGUAUGGGAGAGGGAAGUGGAAUUUCAGGUGUAGCGGUGAAAUGCGUAGAUAUCUGAAGGAACAUCAGUGGCGAAAGCGACUUCCUGGACCAAUACUGACGCUCAUGUGCGAAAGCGUGGGGGGGCAAACAGG
This 254-nucleotide ribosomal RNA is filed under the name uncultured bacterium. RNAcentral describes it as "partial 16S ribosomal RNA". It matches the Rfam family "Bacterial small subunit ribosomal RNA", at positions 524 to 776 of the family's 1533-position model. The record is from RNAcentral.